This 920-nucleotide long non-coding RNA is filed under the name Panax ginseng (ginseng). RNAcentral's name for it is "long non-coding RNA (PGIN_LNC000564)". Lineage: Eukaryota; Viridiplantae; Streptophyta; Magnoliopsida; Apiales; Araliaceae. The record is from RNAcentral.
CGCAUAGCUCUUGGAAGCUUUAUUGAGGAAUUCACCAACCGAGUCGAUGUCGUAUCCUUCGACGACCAAACCCUAACUCUCAAAUCCAUUCCUAACCUCUCCUUCGAGCACCCUUACCCUCCCACUAAACUAAUGUUCCACCCCAACCCUGCUGCCUCCGGUAAGUCCUCCGACAUCCUUGCUUCCUCCGACGACUAUCUCCGUCUCUGGGAUGUCCGCGACACCUCAAUCGAGCCCAUCUCUCUCCUCAACAACAGUAAAACCAGUGAAUUUUGCGCAGUCAGCUGCCACGUAGGAAAUAACUUAUUUUAUUUUAUUUUUCAAAAGCCACGUAGGAAAAUUGGCCCAAUUUUUUAAGGUCUGUUAGUCAAAUUGAACGGAAUGAAUUGAUUGAACAUUUUUAAAAAGUACAAUGGGCUAAUUAAAUAUUUUAAAAGCACAGUGACUAAUUGCUUAAAACAUUACAACUACAGUAGUGAAAAAGUGUUUUUUACCUAUAGAAAAUAAUACACAAUUCAAUUAUCUGCACAGAGAGCAUGAUACAACAAAAAUUUGAAACCAAAAUAAUAGGAAACUUACAAGAUUUAAAGGGUUAAGACUUCAUCAAUUGAAGACCAUAACUAUAGGUGAUCGUGUGAGAGAGAUCUAGAGAAUCGAAGUGAAAUCCUCUAUUUAGCACUGCUUCGAAGGAAUCUUACCACGAAAAAAUUGAGAGAAGCCCUAACUACAGGAAGAACCAACCAAAAAUAAAAGAAUAUAAUCUAUAAAGAACUUAUCGUUGAAAAAUCCAUCAAUUUUGCAUCCAAGGAUUCUCAGAAAUGGUGGUAUCUUUGUAUCUAGGCUUCUCCAAAAUGGUGCAAAUUCCUCCUAGGCUCUUUAGUUCUACCGAGAGAGGAGAAAGAAUGUUAUUUAAAAGUAAU